CAGCCGCCACGGUAAUACAGAGGAUGCAAGCGUUGUCCGGAAUUAUUGGGCGUAAAGCGCGCGCAGGCGGAUCAGUCAGUCUGUCUUAAAAGUUCGGGGCUUAACCCCGUGAUGGGAUGGAAACUGCUGAUCUAGAGUAUCGGAGAGGAAAGUGGAAUUCCUAGUGUAGCGGUGAAAUGCGUAGAUAUUAGGAAGAACACCAGUGGCGAAGGCGACUUUCUGGCUUGUAACUGACGCUGAGGCUCGAAAGCGUGGGGAGCAAACAGGAUUAGAUACCCCAGUAGUCCCUGUCUCUUAUACA
RNAcentral lists this ribosomal RNA (301 nucleotides) under uncultured bacterium. RNAcentral describes it as "partial 16S ribosomal RNA". It matches the Rfam family "Bacterial small subunit ribosomal RNA", at positions 509 to 808 of the family's 1533-position model. The record is from RNAcentral.